Long non-coding RNA from Fundulus heteroclitus (mummichog), 237 nucleotides. RefSeq lists it as uncharacterized. The record is from RefSeq and is a predicted model, not a curated record. The transcript has 3 exons. Lineage: Eukaryota; Metazoa; Chordata; Actinopteri; Cyprinodontiformes; Fundulidae.
UUCAAGAAAAGGGCUCAGAGCCACUCCCUGAGGUGACGACAUCCAGCUAUUGUUCCUAAAUCACCUAAUUAUUACUCAUCAGACUGAGGGAGAACAAAACAAAGACUUGGAGAAGACUCACCAUAGGGAGCCAGGGAACAAAAGGAGAAGAAGAAGCGUUUAGCUGCAGAUGAAGAAGCGAGCUGGGAGUGAUGUGAAUAAGAGAACACCUCGCGCGCGGGGGGGGGGGGACGAGGG